This 429-nucleotide ribosomal RNA is filed under the name bacterium. Its description in RNAcentral is "partial 16S ribosomal RNA". It matches the Rfam family "Bacterial small subunit ribosomal RNA", at positions 355 to 776 of the family's 1533-position model. The record is from RNAcentral.
UAGGGAAUCUUCGGCAAUGGGGGCAACCCUGACCGAGCAACGCCGCGUGAGUGAAGAAGGUUUUCGUAUCGUAAAGCUCUGUUGUAAGAGAAGAACGUGUGUGAGAGUGGAAAGUUCACACAGUGACGGUAACUUACCAGAAAGGGACGGCUAACUACGUGCCAGCAGCCGCGGUAAUACGUAGGUCCCGAGCGUUGUCCGGAUUUAUUGGGCGUAAAGCGAGCGCAGGCGGUUUAAUAAGUCUGAAGUUAAAGGCAGUGGCUUAACCAUUGUUUGCUUUGGCAACUGUUAAACUUGAGUGCAGAAGGGGAGGGUGGAAUUCCAGGUGUAGCGGUGAAAUGCGUGGAUAUAUGGAUGAACACCGGUGGCGAAAGCGGCUCUCUGGCCUGUAACUGACGCUGAGGCUUGAAAGGGUGGGGAGCAAACAGG